Molecule: transfer RNA, 73 nt
Filed under: Plenaster craigi
Lineage: Eukaryota; Metazoa; Porifera; Demospongiae; Axinellida; Stelligeridae
Description: tRNA-Lys
Rfam family: tRNA
About the family: Transfer RNA (tRNA) molecules are approximately 80 nucleotides in length. Their secondary structure includes four short double-helical elements and three loops (D, anti-codon, and T loops).
Source: RNAcentral
UGGUGUGUAACUCAGCUGGUAGAGUAAUAGGCUUUUAACCUAGAAGUGGUUGGUUCAAUUCCAACUAUACCAA